Molecule: transfer RNA, 71 nt
Filed under: Patescibacteria group bacterium
Lineage: Bacteria
Also listed under: 2 other names
Description: tRNA-Gly
Rfam family: tRNA
About the family: Transfer RNA (tRNA) molecules are approximately 80 nucleotides in length. Their secondary structure includes four short double-helical elements and three loops (D, anti-codon, and T loops).
Source: RNAcentral
GCGGGAUUAGUUAAAUGGUAUAACAUCUGCCUUCCAAGCAGAGGUCAGGAGUUCGAUUCCCCUAUCCCGCA